This 253-nucleotide ribosomal RNA is filed under the name uncultured bacterium. RNAcentral describes it as "partial 16S ribosomal RNA". It matches the Rfam family "Bacterial small subunit ribosomal RNA", at positions 524 to 776 of the family's 1533-position model. The record is from RNAcentral.
UACGGAGGGUGCGAGCGUUGUCCGGAAUCACUGGGCGUAAAGGGCGCGCAGGCGGCCACGCACGUCCGUUGUGAAAUCGCCCGGCUCAACUGGGCGGGGUCAGCGGAUACGGCGCGGCUGGAGCAAGCUAGGGGGCAAUGGAACUCCCGGUGUAGUGGUGGAAUGCGUAGAUAUCGGGAAGAACACCAGUGGCGAAGGCGGUUGCCUGGAGCUUUGCUGACGCUGAGGCGCGAAAGCGUGGGGAGCGAACAGG